This 468-nucleotide ribosomal RNA is filed under the name uncultured bacterium. RNAcentral's name for it is "partial 16S ribosomal RNA". It matches the Rfam family "Bacterial small subunit ribosomal RNA", at positions 28 to 507 of the family's 1533-position model. The record is from RNAcentral.
GACGAACGCUGGCGGCGUGCUUAACACAUGCAAGUCGAACGGAAAGGCCCUGCUUUUGUGGGGUGCUCGAGUGGCGAACGGGUGAGUAACACGUGAGUAACCUGCCCUUGACUUUGGGAUAACUUCAGGAAACUGGGGCUAAUACCGGAUAGGAGCUCCUGCUGCAUGGUGGGGGUUGGAAAGUUUCGGCGGUUGGGGAUGGACUCGCGGCUUAUCAGCUUGUUGGUGGGGUAGUGGCUUACCAAGGCUUUGACGGGUAGCCGGCCUGAGAGGGUGACCGGCCACAUUGGGACUGAGGUACGGCGCAGACUCCUACGGGAGGCAGCAGUGGGGAAUAUUGCACAAUGGGCGGAAGCCUGAUGCAGCAGCGCCGCGUGCGGGAUGACGGCCUUCGGGUUGUAAACCGCUUUCGCCUGUGACGAAGCGUGAGUGACGGUAAUGGGUAAAGAAGCACCGGCUAACUACGUG